This is a long non-coding RNA of Myotis myotis, 3371 nucleotides long. RefSeq lists it as uncharacterized. NCBI's taxonomy places the organism in Eukaryota, Metazoa, Chordata, Mammalia, Chiroptera, Vespertilionidae. The record is from RefSeq and is a predicted model, not a curated record. The transcript has 2 exons.
CCGGACCGGAUUCUUGAAUGUAUUUCCUUCAGACGGGGUUUAUAAGAGCACUUCCUCGUGAUUGGGAUAGUCAGUGUACUUUUUCCAGGUUAGGUUUAGGUUAUGCUUUUGAGGGGCGGGUUUCAGGGGUUGCAUUUCAGUUAGGCUGGUUGGCAUUCGCAGUUUCUGCUCAUUGGGUUCGCUGACGCACUUUCUCGCGGGGCUGGCGUGGGGAGGGGCUGGUUAGUGUCCAUCCCUCGCCUCAGUCGCACGGAAGAGCGGGGCGCCGUGUCCCGGGACUCCAGUUCGUCGGAUGUGGGUGUCCCCUCCUUGUUCAGUCCGCGCUGUAUGCGCUGCGCCAACUCCCGCACACUUUGCGGUCUGUCAGGUCCGUGUGGCUUACAGGACACAGACGGCCAAAUCUUCCUGAAUCCGGGACUACUGGUGGUUCUGUUCGAUGAUGUGCCAGUUCGGUUUGCAUUCCGGGUAAAUGGGGAAGGUGUUAUAGUCUGGUUAACUCACUAUGUUUUAUUAUUUGGAAGAUAUAAACUAGUGGAAGGCAACAUUUAGAAGCGGCUUCAUGUUCUUUAUCUUGACUUAUUCCUAGGAUCACAUGUGAGCUGGGGCCCGUCCUCGUGGAGCACUUGGUCCCCCGCUGUCCUCUGUUGUCAAGUGGCCACGGUUGCGCGGUUUGUCCUUUCGUCUGCAGAGAUAAGCUUUUAGAUUAACUUUUUAUCUCUCUUUGUAUUUGGAGCUGAGCAUGAACUCACUACCAUCCGACUGGAAGGACACUAUUUUCCCAAUCUUUUUUAGUAGUUAGAAAUUGAGUGUAUGUUCUGUGCUUUUUUGUAAUAAUGCAUACAUCUGCUUCUUAUGCUGAUGGGGGUUUAGUUCUGUUUGCGAUGCUCUUUGGGUCCCAUCUACAGGAGUCAUUUGUUAUUUGCUCAUGGCUCUAAAAGACUAGUUUUUGCAUACAUGUGUAUCUUUGUGUAAUUUGCCUUAAUUUUCUGCACUCGGACAUAUGUAAGGUAGCUAAAACAUAAAUUGAAGUUUAAAGUGCCCUGAAGCCUUAUACAACCAGUAAACAUGAGGAUUUUUAACUAGUGUGUCAAGCUGGUUUGGUGAGGAAAUUAUUGCAGGGCCUGUCCCUGAAGGAGCACCAAGGAAAGCUCACCUCCUCUUUUUCUUUUAUUUUGUUUUGUUAAUCCCCACCGGAGGAUGUUUUUCCAUUGAUUUUUGAGAGAGUAGAAGGGGGAUAUAUAGAGAGAAACAUUGAUGUGAGAGACACACCAAUUGGUUGCCUCUGGAAUGUACCUACAACUCAGGUAUGUGCCCUUGACCAGGAAGUGAACCCAAGACCCUUUGGUGAGUGGCCCAAUGCUCUAACCACUGAGUACACCGACAGAGCAAGCUCAUCUCCGUUUGACAACCUUCCUUCUUGGCCUGGUCUUGGGUCUCUGCCCUUUACGGAUAGCAGCCCAAGACCCUGGUGGCCUGUGAUUGUGUCUUUCAUGACAUUCUCCAGUUUGAGUCCCUGACUCCUAUGCCUAGAUGAUAGGAUCAGAAAUAAGAAAGGAGAAUUGAUUUAAAAGCAAGAUCUUACUGUAGAUAUGGAAUCCCAAGAAAAACUAUCUGGCCCGACCAACGGAGAGGGUCCUGGAUGUGGAGACACCCAAGAACCGGAAGGAUGGACAGAAAGACAUCAGAGAAGCACUUCAAGUGAGAGAAGGUGCAAGUGUGAUGAACAUGAGAAAAGAUUCACUCAGAACUCAUUAGACAAAAGAGAAUUCACACUGGAGAGAGACACUGUUCAUGUAAUGUCUGUGGCAAUUUUAAUGCAGAAGCUCACAACGUAUUGACCGUCAGAGAAUACAUAGCCUGUUUUAUAGGUUAAAACUAUCAGUGUGAGGAGUGCAGAAAGCCUUUAUCACAAUUCACACCUUGUUCAGCAUCCAUGGACCUGCACUGGUGAAAUGCCUUUCCAGAAUGGUGAGUGUGGCAAAGCUUUUCAUGACAGCUCAGUCACAUCCGACACCAGAGGACCUGCACAGGAAACAAGGCACACCAGAGCAUUGACUGGGGGAAAUGCUUCAGCCUGAGCUCAGGCCCUAUGAGUGUGAGGAGGGUGGGAAGACCUCAGUUACAGCUCACGUCUGGGACCCAGAAGAAUCCACAUGGGAGAGGAGCCCUGGUGACACAAGAGUGCGGAGCUACUCCUGGCACUCGUUCCGAGGACACCAAGAUGCACGCUGGCGAUGGUGUUGCCCUAACAGUGCUGAGCUCUCCACUCCCGGCCACUUAUUCCAGAGUCACGUGAACACAGCUUCCAAGCAGCAUGGGAUGCUUUGCCCACUGAACACAUCACCUGCUGAGCUGGGACGCUGGAUGGGCCCAUUCGUGUUGUCAAACUCUUCUCAGAAGUCAGUUGCUCAGGAAAUCUUAGUGUUUAUAUUCCUCUUCCCCUUCUCUCCUCCCUAUUUUCUGAACUACUUUGGAAAAAAAAACGCCAACACCUCAAUAUUUGGUUAACUUGAUCAAAUACAUUAAUCUAUCAAUUAUUUAAACUAAAAACAUGGUGAAAGACAAAAACUAUUUUGUUAUACUGGAAUGGAUUAUGCUUUGCAGGGCCAGAAUGGGUCAAGGCUGGAUGGAUCGAUCAACCUGCUGAUCCACAGGGACCUUUCACAUCUUUAACCAGAGGUGGCAGACAAGCCCCACAUAGUUUUUGUUUGUUAGUUUUUUGUAAUUUAAAAUAAUAGCAACUCUUUAAGACUCUGCAUAUUUCACAUAGAAUCUGACUUUCCAGAUUUUCUUAUAAAAAUACUGUGCACAUUUUUGUCUGUUAAUAUUUGUAUUCUAUAAAUGCCUAUUUAAAUCCUUAGCCAAUUUUUCUAUUGGCUUGUUUAUAUUUUUCUUACUUUUUUGUAAGAGGUCUUUGCAUAUUAGGAAAAUUAGCCCUGUGUUGUUUAGAUGUGACAUAUUUUGGUCUGACUUUAUAGCUGGACAAGUGGAAUGAGAAGUUAACUAGAAGAGGACGUUCUGCCAAGAAAAGACAGGAGCCUGCAAGCAGGCCACGUCAGAACAAAGUCUUGCAAACAAGACUUAUUGUUUAGAGGCAUAACUUUCCUUGAGGUGAUAAAUAGUCCAUGAGGGCAUGGAAAGUUCAAGGGAGGGUGCACUGCUGCAGGUGGAAAGAGUCUUUGUAUAACAGAGGAAAUGAAUAGUGUAAUGUACAACUUAGCUCAGAUGAUCUCAUCAGCAUGCUUGUUAAUCAUUGUCACUUGCUGUACUCCAUUGUUAUUUGCUGUACUCCCCAAAUAAAGACCAUGAGAGCUUUGGGGGCUUUGCUAUUCGCCUGAGCGAGUGGUACCCCUCUGCUUCUCUAAACUCAA